RNAcentral lists this ribosomal RNA (1402 nucleotides) under uncultured bacterium. RNAcentral describes it as "16S ribosomal RNA". It matches the Rfam family "Bacterial small subunit ribosomal RNA". The record is from RNAcentral.
AGAGUUUGAUCCUGGCUCAGGAUGAACGCUAGCGGCAGGCUUAACACAUGCAAGUCGAGGGGCAGCGGGGAGGAAGCUUGCUUUCUCCGCCGGCGACCGGCGCACGGGUGAGUAACACGUAUGCAACCUGCCCCUGUCAGGGGGACAACCCGCCGAAAGGCGGGCUAAACCCGCGUACAUGCCACCGGGGCAUCCCGGAGGCAGGAAAGGCUUCGGCCGGACAGGGAUGGGCAUGCGGCGCAUUAGGCAGUAGGCGGGGUAACGGCCCACCUAACCGACGAUGCGUAGGGGUUCUGAGAGGAAGGUCCCCCACACUGGUACUGAGACACGGACCAGACUCCUACGGGAGGCAGCAGUGAGGAAUAUUGGUCAAUGGUCGGGAGACUGAACCAGCCAAGCCGCGUGAGGGAGGAAGGUACAGAGUAUCGUAAACCCCUUUUGUCAGGGAACAAAGGCGGGGACGUGUCCCCGGAUGAGUGUACCUGAAGAAAAAGCAUCGGCUAACUCCGUGCCAGCAGCCGCGGUAAUACGGAGGAUGCGAGCGUUAUCCGGAUUUAUUGGGUUUAAAGGGUGCGCAGGCGGUCUGUUAAGUCAGCGGUCAAAGCCCGGGGCUCAACCCCGGCCCGCCGUUGAAACUGGCAGUCUCGAGUUGGAGAGAAGUAUGCGGAAUGCGCGGUGUAGCGGUGAAAUGCAUAGAUAUCGCGCAGAACUCCGAUUGCGAAGGCAGCAUGCCGGCUCCACACUGACGCUGAGGCACGAAAGCGUGGGUAUCGAACAGGAUUAGAUACCCUGGUAGUCCACGCAGUAAACGAUGAAUGCUGGCUGUCCGGGGGGAUUGACCCCUGGGUGGCGAAGCGAAAGCGAUAAGCAUUCCACCUGGGGAGUACGCCGGCAACGGUGAAACUCAAAGGAAUUGGCGGGGGCCCGCACAAGCGGAGGAACAUGUGGUUUAAUUCGAUGAUACGCGAGGAACCUUACCCGGGCUCAAACGGGGAGUGACUCAGGCAGAGACGCCUGUUUCCCACGGGACACUCCCCGAGGUGCUGCAUGGUUGUCGUCAGCUCGUGCCGUGAGGUGUCGGCUUAAGUGCCAUAACGAGCGCAACCCCCGCGUGCAGUUGCUAACAGAUAACGCUGAGGACUCUGCACGGACUGCCGGCGCAAGCCGCGAGGAAGGCGGGGAUGACGUCAAAUCAGCACGGCCCUUACGUCCGGGGCGACACACGUGUUACAAUGGGUGGUACAGCGGGAAGCCAGGCGGCGACGCCGAGCGGAACCCGAAAUCCACUCUCAGUUCGGAUCGGAGUCUGCAACCCGACUCCGUGAAGCUGGAUUCGCUAGUAAUCGCGCAUCAGCCAUGGCGCGGUGAAUACGUUCCCGGGCCUUGCACACACCGCCCGUCA